GGGCCCAUGGCGCAGUCCGGUAGCGCACCUCGUUCGCAUCGAGGGGGUCAGGGGUUCGAAUCCCCUUGGGUCCACCA
This 77-nucleotide transfer RNA is filed under the name Plantibacter flavus. RNAcentral's name for it is "tRNA-Ala". It matches the Rfam family "tRNA". From Rfam's summary of the family: Transfer RNA (tRNA) molecules are approximately 80 nucleotides in length. Their secondary structure includes four short double-helical elements and three loops (D, anti-codon, and T loops). RNAcentral also lists the same sequence under 21 other names. The record is from RNAcentral. Lineage: Bacteria; Bacillati; Actinomycetota; Actinomycetes; Micrococcales; Microbacteriaceae.